AGCGAACGCUGGCGGCAGGCUUAACACAUGCAAGUCGAGCGGGCAUCUUCGGAUGUCAGCGGCAGACGGGUGAGUAACACGUGGGGACGUACCCUUCGGUUCGGAACAACUCUGGGAAACUGGAGCUAAUACCGGAUACGCCCUUAUGGGGAAAGGUUUACUGCCGAAGGAUCGGCCCGCGUCUGAUUAGCUAGUUGGUGGGGUAACGGCCUACCAAGGCGACGAUCAGUAGCUGGUCUGAGAGGAUGAUCAGCCACACUGGGACUGAGACACGGCCCAGACUCCUACGGGAGGCAGCAGUGGGGAAUAUUGGACAAUGGGCGCAAGCCUGAUCCAGCCAUGCCGCGUGAGUGAUGAAGGCCUUAGGGUUGUAAAGCUCUUUUGUCCGGGACGAUAAUGACGGUACCGGAAGAAUAAGCCCCGGCUAACUUCGUG
RNAcentral lists this ribosomal RNA (435 nucleotides) under uncultured bacterium. RNAcentral's name for it is "partial 16S ribosomal RNA". It matches the Rfam family "Bacterial small subunit ribosomal RNA", at positions 29 to 507 of the family's 1533-position model. The record is from RNAcentral.